RNAcentral lists this ribosomal RNA (468 nucleotides) under uncultured bacterium. RNAcentral's name for it is "partial 16S ribosomal RNA". It matches the Rfam family "Bacterial small subunit ribosomal RNA", at positions 28 to 507 of the family's 1533-position model. The record is from RNAcentral.
GACGAACGCUGGCGGCGUGCUUAAUACAUGCAAGUCGAACGGAAAGGCCCUGCUUUUGUGGGGUGCUCGAGUGGCGAACGGGUGAGUAACACGUGAGUAACCUGCCCUUGACUUUGGGAUAACAUCAGGAAACAGGGGCUCAAACCGGAUAGGAGAUCCUGCAGCAUGGGGGGGGUUGGAAAGUUUCGGCGGUUGGGGAUGGACUCGCGGCUUAUCAGCUUGUUGGUGGGGUAGUGGCUUACCAAGGCUUUGACGGGUAGCCGGCCUGAGAGGGUGACCGGCCACAAUGGGACUGAGAUACGGCCCAGACGCCUACGGGAGGCAGCAGUGGGGAAUAUUGCGCAGUGGGCGGGAGCCUGAUGCAGCAACGCCGCGUGCGGGAAGACGGCCUUCGGGUUGUAAACCGCUUUCGCCUGUGACGAAGCGGGAGUGACGGUAAUUGGUAAAGAAGCACCGGCUAACUACGUG